Molecule: long non-coding RNA, 2933 nt
Organism: Xenopus tropicalis (tropical clawed frog)
Lineage: Eukaryota; Metazoa; Chordata; Amphibia; Anura; Pipidae
Exons: 2
Source: RefSeq, a predicted model, not a curated record
AAACAUCAGGGUCCAACCUUAGCUUCACUUCCUGUGCCUUCUAGAGCUUCAGCCUAGGCUAGAAAAUGCCUAACGUAAUGAAAGUGGGAACCUGCUGCUGGAGGCCGUCAGCCCUUUACUUGUACAUAAUGGCAAAAAACAUAUUUCUAGCGGUUUUUCCUUUGAGACCAUCUGACCUUUUAGGGGUUAAAAUAGGACAAGCCUCGCAGUUGUUUAAGGGCCUUUUGUUUAGCAAGGCAGCAAAUGCAGCAAGUAGGUUGGGGGGAGGAUGCAGGGAUAACAGUACAAUAGAGCCCAGGCAGAGACUGAGACAUUGGGGACAAAGGGACCUGACACUGUUUAAAGGUGAAACACUGGAUGAUUCCUUUUUUUUUCAGGAGCAGAGAAAGUAAAAUAGUCACAGUCGGAAUGAGAUCUGAACCUUGCAGAAGGAAGAAUAGUGUGGCCUCUGCUAUUUAGGGAUGAAGAAGUAAUCAGCUGGGAAUGGUGACAAAACCUGAGUGUACUCCGAAGUCCAGUUUUGGAGCAGCCACAGAUCUUUGAAAAUAAAGAUCUAUGCAACAGUACCAUGCUUCAACUUCACAGGAUCAGAGGACACGCAAAAAGCUUCAAAAGCACAGAAUACCGUGCAUGAGAAGACUCAGGGUGAGUCGCAGAUCGGCUGCACUAAGAUUGAUAUGACUGGUGGGAAACUAUCAGAGGCAGAAUAAAGUACAACAGAGGGAACUUAAAAAAUUAUGUAAGGGUUACAGGUAUAUAAAGCAAAUGGUAGUAAUGCAAGGGGCUAACAAAAGAUGAUAGUGUAGAUAGUCCUAGAAUUAAGACUAUGGAGGAAUGUAACUACUUAAAUGUAUCUGAAGUAAAGAAGCAGCUGGGCAAGGGUUUGUAAACUAAAGUAUGAGAGGGACCACAUCACAGAAAGAGGCAGGGCUGCUUUAAGGCAUAGGUUUGGCUACAGGAAAGACUGGUGGGCAUCACGUCUGUCCCCAACGUAAUGGUACUACUUAACCCUGUUUAAUAUGCACAUACAGUUUCUCUCAGAAUUAAUAAUAUUUUAGGUGUAUUAUUGUUGAGCAGAAAAGAGCACAACUCUUAUGAAAAAGUAACAUUAUAAACAUACAGCCUUGUCUGGGUAUUAUCUGAAAACUAAAACUGAAUUAACGUAAGGCUAGAGCCCCCUACGCUGGCACCAGCCUGCUAAUUUGCGUGCACCUGGUAUCAUUGUCUUUUUUGUUUUUUGCUGAUAACCACCGCGUCUGCCCGCACCCGAGUGGAGACAGUGCCUCCAGGUGCAGGCAAGGCUGGUGCCAGCGUAGGGGGCUCUAGCCUUUGUAAUUCAGUUUUAGUUUUCAGAUAAUACCCACACAAGGCUGUAUGUCGAGAAUCUGCCCUGUGUGGCACUAGCCUAAAAUCUAAAGUAAAAAAAAAAACAAGAAAAUAAUGGAUGGUGGUAAAAAAGUGGUUUUAAAAGAAGUUUUCCAUGCAGGUACAAAUAUGCCCACUCAGGAUGCUCUAGGUUACAUCCAGCUACUUCAUUUCCUGUUAAAGAGAGAGAGAAGAGUUCUUAUCUUUGAUUUCAGCAUUCCAGUUAAUAAAUGAUUACACUAACAAGGGGGUGUCAUUGUGCGUAAUGGAAAAGUACUUGAUUAGACCAACGCACAGGGGCACUUUUGGCAGAAAUCAAUAUAACCUUUAUUUAUGAAGUGUGAGGCAGAGUGCAAGGUGCAAAGAAGAGCUCAAAGCACCAUGUGCAUUUGCACCCAAUCCCACACUUAGUGCCCAUAGAACUGAGCCUCACCUAUGAACGCAGCACUGCAUGUGUUUGACAGCUCUGUAUUCAAGAGGGGUGGUUUUUGGAGAAGUAGGUGAGCACCCACUAAGACGCCCCCUAGCUUGCAUGUCAUUUAGAGACAUUAAAUAAGGAAUGCCAACAGGUGCAAAAAGCAGCAGGGGCCUUUACUUACUUUUUAGUACCAGGCUGUGUUAUGCCUGCUGUGUCCAUGGGAUGUGCAGAAUCUUUUCUAUUCUGAAACUUUCAGUUUCAGUUAUACCUAGAUCAGAGUAUAGAGAAUUUAGAGUUUAGAUUACUUUAUUGCCAUUGGUUUUCCAGAUUUAUAACAAUGCAAAAGAAAGCUAACACCAUUGUUGGCUUUAGGAAUUGGGUCUGGAUCUCAUGGAAUCUGAAAAACACUUUUCCCAUGAUAAAAAAUAUUAUACUUCGGUAUAUACUCAGGCAAGGUAAUGGGGGCUCCUACCCAGGGAUGGCAAUGCAGGCUCCCAUUUGAUAAUGUCAGUAGAACACAGCUGGCUGGCAAUAAUCUGAUAAAUAUUAACAAGGCCAUGCCAGGAGAUCGACAGUCUCUACUGAGACUUUUGUGCCUUGCCUCCUGCCACUGUCAGAGUUAAAGAAAAACAUCACAGAAUCAAGAUACCCAAAGAGGUGAAAAAAAAACAAAGGAACAUCUUAUCGAAUGAGAAUGUGAUGGCUGGAUAAUAUGUCCCAACUAUACCCUUUACUAUAGAAAGCAGAAAGGUCAGGGAGAAAACCUGAUAUACUUAUAAUUCAUACAGGUAGCAAUAACAUGGCAGAGGUAAAAUCUUUUCAGAGUGGGAUCCCUCUUUGUUGGUAGCAGGGCAAGACCCAAAACAUUUUGAAAAUUUAUCAGCCUAAUUAUUUUUGAGAGAGGGUAACCACUGGGCACCUGUCUGACUCUGUUUUUUUGUAGGUCAUUCAGAAAACCAGGAAAAUUAUUUCGAAGCAAUGACUGCCAUCCACACCAGGUAAUUUGCUUCCUUCUAGAACUGGGGUUGAAUGGUCAAGGGAGAAUACCCUGCAUUUUUAUAAGUUAAAUUCAGUGUCCAACCCAUUCCCAUGUGGAGACUGUGUUGUUGAAAUUGUACAAUAAAGCCACAGGCUUCCUUUUUUCCUCAAA